UAUAAAGAGAAUUUACCGAAAAAAUCAAUAUUUUCGUAGGGGUUAACACAAAGAUUUUGAGAAAAAUUCAAAAAUAUGAAAAUAUUGUUUUAAUGCAUAGUUGCAUCCUUCACUAACAUAUGAUGAAGGUCAAAGAGGUUUGGAACUUUUGUUGUCUUUGUUUCUCUAGAAAAUAGCGAUUUUAUAGUGGUUAAGUCUACCAAUUUAGAGAAUAUUAUGAUGUUUUACAAAACUAAUUGAAAAAGAAUUAAAACGAUGCCCAUAAACCAUGAAAGAGAGUUUAAUAUACAUUAAUACAAAUGUAGAAUGUGUGUAGAAAUUUUAAAACAACACUAAAGAUCAUAGGCUUCAGUAUAUAAAAUAUUUACCGAAAAACUCAAUAUUUUUGUAGCACACAUAGAUUUUGAGAAAAAUU
This is a long non-coding RNA of Brassica rapa (field mustard), 415 nucleotides long. RefSeq lists it as uncharacterized. NCBI's taxonomy places the organism in Eukaryota, Viridiplantae, Streptophyta, Magnoliopsida, Brassicales, Brassicaceae. The record is from RefSeq and is a predicted model, not a curated record.